GAUGAACGCUGGCGGCGUGCUUAACACAUGCAAGUCGAACGGUGAACACGGAGUUUGCUCUGUGGGAUCAGUGGCGAACGGGUGAGUAACACGUGAGCAACCUGCCCCUGACUCUGGGACAUGCGCUGGAAACGGCGUCUAAUACUGGCUAUGUGACGUGAUCGCAUGGUCUGCGUCUGGCAAGAAGCUCGGUUGGGGAUGGGCUCGCGGCCUACGAGCUUGUUGGUGAGGUAAUGGCCCACCAAGGCGUCGACGGAUGGCCGGCCUGAGAGGGUGACCAGCCACACUAGGACUGAGAGACGGCCCAGACUCGAACGGGAGGCAGCGGUGGGAAAUAUUGCACAAUGGGCGCAAGCCUGAUGCAGCGGCGCCGCGUGAGGGAUGACGGCCUUCGGGUUGUAAACCUCUUUUAGCAGGGAAGAAGCGAAAGUGACGGUACCUGCAGAAAAAGCGCCGGCUAACUACGUG
RNAcentral lists this ribosomal RNA (468 nucleotides) under uncultured bacterium. RNAcentral describes it as "partial 16S ribosomal RNA". It matches the Rfam family "Bacterial small subunit ribosomal RNA", at positions 28 to 507 of the family's 1533-position model. The record is from RNAcentral.